UGGAUAUUUUUUCCAUUCUAAACCCUCAGUGGGAAGAAACCUUCUACUUAUAAAGUAUUUCAAUGAGAUAAGGAAAAAAUGAUGAAGCAAAUUAUUGAUUUCAUGAAAUAGAUUAAAUAGCUUAUUUUUUUGAGUUUAUAUCCAGCUAGAAACAGGCCAUCUGAGUAACCAAUAUUCAUUAGACUCUCAUUUAAGUAAUAAACACCAGGCUAGAUGCUGGGGUUACAGAGAUUAAUUAGACAAGCUCUUCAUCCUCACAGGGUAAGGGAGCAGAUAGACAAAUACACUAGAAGAUGCUGACUCAGCUCAGUGGGACAGCUUCCAGAUAGGGCCCCCUCUCCUAGCUCUGCCCUAGAGCGCCUCGCCCCAUAUGUGCCCAGAGCACAGCAUUGUCUUCUGCUUAUGUCAUUGAUCAAAUCCACUCAUUUCACUCAAUGUAUGUUCCUUGAAUGCCUCCUACAUGUCAGGCUCUCUUCCAAGUGCAUAAAUUAACAUCUGCAUUUUGAUAUAUGUUAUAUGUGUAUAUGUUAUAUUGAGAUAUAGUGGGCAUAUAUAUAUUAUCUCUUCUUGUUUCCUUUAUGGGUAUGUAAAUAAGAAUGUAUACUUUAUAAAUCUUUGCAAAAUCAAGGUCAUAUUAUAUUCGCUGUUUUGGGGCUUUGAACAUGGCUUGGUAUUUCCCUUGACAUUAAAUAUUCACUGACAAUGUGCUUUUAGUGUAGAUAUAUUAGCUACCAUCAUUUGGAGACCCAACCUCAAUCUAUUUGGUCAAUUCCUAAUUAUUAGUCCCUUGGGUUUUAGUUUUUUUUUUUUUUUUUCCUAUUACAAAUAAGGAAAAGACUUACUUUUCUAUGCAAACCUUUGAUUGCCUUUCUAUCACAGGAUUACAAUUAGUCAUCAGCCUUCAAUGCGCAUCAUCAGCCUUUGGAAAGCAGCUAUGUUCUCUUCUGCCUUUUGGUCAGAAAUUUUCCUAACUGCGUUGUGUGAUAUGAUUUCACCUUCAUGUUAGAUUUCUAGUUAUCAGUGCAGUGGAAUAAGUCAGUCAAGAAGAGCCACAGCUGUGCUUUAGUGCCUCUUGCAUAUCAAUACUCGCUUAUCUGAACACACAUAUAAGAAAGCUCCUUCAGGGACUGGCUUGGCACGUAAGAAGGUCCCGCAGAGGAGCAUGGGGUUGGGGGAAGUCUGAAAUGGACACUUUGGUCCUAGAGAUGGCGUGCUUCGGCCCCUCUUUGUUUUGCUCUAGCGCCAUCUAAAUUUCAGAUUGAUUUAAAUUUUCCUCACAUUCUCCUGUCAGGAUACACACAUCACCAUCCGUGCAACAUAGCCUCUUUGAUAACGACCCUAAGAGAAGCACUUGCAUGUCUUUACCCCUCCCCAGGGGGCUAGCUGGAGACUCCCAGAGGCAAACUUCACAGAAUAGAAGAAAAGCAGUCCCAGGGCAGAAAAGCUUUAUGCAACCUCGGUAAACACCCAAAUAGCACAGGAGUUACUGAACAGAAAGGCACUGUGAUGUAGCAUUGUUUAUUAUGUCAGACAGCAUCAGAUUCCCAUGGCUUUAUAGGAAAGGAAAUCAGAGCAAUGAGUUUCAAUUAAGUUAUGCACAUGAAAUCUACCUCAAUUGUGCUAAUAGAAAACCUUAAUGUUGAUCCUGGCAUAACUUCUAAAUUUUAAACAUGAAUGCUUUUCGUGACUCAUAAUCACCAUUAAAACUUGAGCACCAUCCAUAAAACGAGCCUUUAGUUUUAGAUGCCAAAAGGUAAGGCAGGAGCAGUUGGACUUUCUAAGUGUAAUAAAAUGCCAGGCAGAAAUAUGAGGCUAUAGAACCUUUCGUUUCCAGAGACCUUCAGCUCUCUGGGGGCCAUUGAGCAUUUACCCUAAGUAUUCACAUAGCUUCACUUUUUAGAAUAAUCUUAGAUGAUUUAGGGCUUUUCAGGAAAUAGUUUCAUUUAUUACUAUGCCUCAUAAUGUUAAAGCAUGUCUGUGGAUACUGCAGGACCUGCUGAUGGUUUUAAACCUCCUAUUAGGUUUUGAAGACUUCUGACAUCCCUUUGGCUCAAAAAUCUUUUUAAAACUUUCAAGAUAAGAGGCUCUGGAGCUUGGGAGGUGGGAUAUGUAAUAACGUCAGUCAUACUCAAAAUAAAAAACCUUGAAAUCAUCACAUAGGCUUGGUACUUUGUGGUAUAACAGCUAAAUGACAGGGCAUCUGCCUCUCCCAUCGUCCUGCCAGUUCUCACUGAUGUAUUGGGUCUGGGGUUGUGUGGACUCUCUCUACAUUGACACUAUUCUAACCAGAGGACACAGAGGUUAAUACAAGUUCCAGCCAGAAAGUGGCCACCCCUCUAACACUGGGUAGAGCAAAUGGAAAGAGUGGAGGUCCUUUUCCAGAGAAGCACUGGAGGGAUGCCGCUGGACCCUAGGAAUUCAGUUGAAAAUUAUACUAAUGAACCUCUGCAGUGGAAUCAAGGGAAGUCCCCAGAUUAACCAAAUGUCUCAAGAAUGAAAGAAAAAAAAAUCCUUCACCUUUUCUGGCCCCUUAGAACAGAAAACAUCCUAAAGGCUUAGUGAAAUGGCAACAUUCCUAAAAUGCCUUAUUGUGGAAACCGUAAGAUUAUCAACUAAAUAAAUAUCCAUUAAUAGGAUAAAAGAAAAAGUAAGGCUUCUGUGAAACGGAUUCAAAAAUCAAUAAGAGAAUGGGUUGUAUUAAUUGUGAUUCUGUUGCAAUAGACAGAAAGCCCAGCACAGAUUGAUUUUUGUAAAAAGAAAGUUCUGCAAAAUGUCCAGGAGUACACUUAGCUUUAGGUGUUGCUGCCUAGAAGGGCCCAAAUAGUGUUCUCACAGAAGGAUUUCUCCUGGCCCAUAUCUUUAAGAGAAGAACCAUUGUCCUUUCCGUGAGGGUUCUAUCCUCCGAAAAUCUUUUUCUUUGGGGUGGAAGGAUGACUACAAGAGUUCUGGUCACACCGUUUAGGUUCUGUAUCCAUGGAAACAGAGCGGCUCCUCUCACCCAGCACACGUUCUUGCAGCAUCUUUAGCUGGUCAGGUCAUGUGCUGCUCCAGAAAUGAUUUGCUGGGGCUGAAGAAGAUUUCGCUUCAGUGCCAGAUUCCUGCUUUUCUCUGAGACCUGGCAGGUCCCAAAGACCAGAGUGCAUCUUCAAGGUAAACCAGGAGCCUUGGCUUGGAACUGUGGAAAGGAAAACUGGGAAGGCAAACAGCAAAGACCCAUUACUCAGAGUAAGACUAAAAUGAAGCAGAGCAUGAAGAGAUUCAUAAUCUACUUAAAAUUAAAACAGAGUGGAGGGAGUGCAAUACACAAGGACUGCAAAAAAUAUAAUGACAGAAUCUAAAUUUGCAUCAGGACUCAUAGAGAAGGAAAAAAAAUGGUACCAAUAUUAAAUUGAAAUAUGAAGGAAAAAUUAAGAAAAUUUUCCAGAGGACAGAGGAAAAAAGGAAACUAACUCAUGAAAGGCACAGAAAAGAAAUCCAACUUGCAAAUUAUAUCUUAGAAUAGAGAGUCCAUCAAUAGACCCACAUAAAUAAAGACAACUGACCUUUAACAAAGGAGCAAAGGAAAUUCAAUGGAAUAAAGAUAGUCUUUCAAUGAAUGGUUGAACAAUUAGCCACAUGCAAAAAUCAUGAAUCUAGACAUAGUCCUUACACUCUUCACAAAAAUUAUCUUGAAAUGGAUCAUAAAUCUAAAACAAAAACUAUAAUGAUAACCUAGAUAAUGACAUAGGUGAAAACUUAGCUAACCUUUGGUAUUGUGAUGACUUUUUAUUUUAUUUUUAAAUUUUUUUGGCUUUUUAAGUCUGCACCUGUGGCAUUGGGAAGUUCCCAGGCUAGGGGUCGAAUCAGAGCUAAGACUUAAGACAUCACAUUAUUUCUCCCAAUAUAUUUAAUGUGAUAAUUUCUUCUCAUAAAAAUAGGGCUCCUCAUAUCGCAUUAUAAACAAAGCUGAAAUUAAUGCUGGUUACAAACAGGGAUGAUGUCAACAAAACUGCAAAAUGGGCAGUUCGAAGCUCUUACCCCUCCAUUGAAACAUUAAAAAACAAGCAGAAAUUGUCAGAACCAAGUUUGUCAGAACUCUAGAAAACAGUCAAAAGUUUAGAGCAGCGAAAUAAACAUUAGGUCAAGAAAAAGGAAACUUCGAGAUGGUAAAAAUGUUGUGUGUUAUCCCAACACCUCCUUGGCUCAAUGGUUGUCUUGAAGACAAAAGCCCAUGUUCUCAGAGUGGGAUCUAGUUCUCUGGUUCUGGAGAAAACAGAGCUGACCUUACUUGCAAAUUAUUGUGCCUGUCUGUUCUAACCUGUCUGGGUGCUUCCUGGAGGGCUGGGGGGUCUCUGUUCCAUCUAACUAGAAAUUCAGGCUAGAAAUGUGGCAGGCAUUGCUCAAAAACACUGCAAACCAAACUAAAAACACAUCAAGUCCUAGUACAAACAAUUAUAGCUGAAACAUACAACAGACUUCUUAAGGAUGCUUAAGGAGCAAAACUUGGGAUAGUUUAUUUGGGAACUUAAGACACACAGAAGCACCCACAUAUAUCAGGAAAUUUAGAAGGCUAUGUACAUGCAUGCUCAGGGAUUGCUUAAAAAAACACCUAAGAAGAUUUUAAGCUUUCUCCUUAGGCUCAGCAAAAUCCUUAGUGCCAAAGGAGUGCUCUGGCACAGAGCCUAUCUGCAAACUUGGGGAGAAGGUUUCCUCUUGUUGUUUGUUUUAUGUUUUAGCUUCUGGAGUUUGAAGAAAUCUCUUAAAACAGUGGCUGAACACAAACUAAAGAACAGAGAUUUCAGUGACCACACAAUAAGAAAUAGAGUCUUCGCAAGAAUAAUUUGGGAAAAUCACUAAAUAAAAGGAUAGUUACAGCCUU
Molecule: long non-coding RNA, 4858 nt
Filed under: Sus scrofa (pig)
Lineage: Eukaryota; Metazoa; Chordata; Mammalia; Artiodactyla; Suidae
Description: lncRNA (ENSSSCG00025023598.1)
Source: RNAcentral